Molecule: ribosomal RNA, 494 nt
Filed under: uncultured bacterium
Lineage: Bacteria
Description: partial 16S ribosomal RNA
Rfam family: Bacterial small subunit ribosomal RNA
Source: RNAcentral
GACGAACGCUGGCGGCGUGCUUAACACAUGCAAGUCGAACGGAAAGGCCUGCUUUCCCUUGUGGAUUGCGGGUACUCGAGUGGCGAACGGGUGAGUAACACGUUAGUGAUCUGCCCCCAACUUGGGUAUAAGCCUGGGAAACUGGGUCUAAUUCCCGAUAGGACUGCAGGGUGGUUCCUGUGGUGGAAAACGAUUUUCUAGUGGUUGGGGAUGAGCUCGCGGCCUAUCAGCUUGUUGGUGGGGUAAUGGCCUACCAAGGCGGCGACGGGUAGCCGGCCUGAGAGGGUGGACGGCGACAUUGGGACUGAGAUACGGCCCAGACUCCUACGGGAGGCAGCAGUGGGGAAUAUUGGACAAGGGGCGGAAGCAUGAUGCAGCGACGCCGCGUGGGGGAUGACGGCCUUCGGGUUGUAAACUCCUUUCGACCGCGAGGAAGCCACCUGGUUGGAAGGGUGGUGACGGUAGUGGUAGAAGAAGCACCGGCUAACUACGUG